Long non-coding RNA from Grammomys surdaster, 711 nucleotides. RefSeq lists it as uncharacterized. The transcript has 2 exons. NCBI's taxonomy places the organism in Eukaryota, Metazoa, Chordata, Mammalia, Rodentia, Muridae. The record is from RefSeq and is a predicted model, not a curated record.
UAUUGAUGGAGUGAAUUCAGAAAAUCUGAAGAUUAAGAUGAAAAGGUCUCCUGUCUCUAUGUCUGAAGACUGCCUAUACCUCAGCAUCUAUACACCAGCCCAUGCCCAUGAGGGCUCUAACCUGCCUGGUUUCUGAAGCCUCUGAAGUCCACACUUGCAUGAAUAUAUCACAUCUAUUGGAUGACCCUGCAAUUAAGGUUGCAGUCCCUAUGUCUAGAUAAGCUCUCUGAGCCUGCUGCUAAAUGGAAGACUCCCUUUCUCAGUGGGGCUCCCUCUUCUCUACCUGAUCUUAUCUGGAGAGUGUUCUAAGCACAUGGGCCUGACCUUAUCUAGAGGAUGACCCUGCACAAAGCUUUUGGCAAGUGCUGCAUGGUUCAGCACAUAAGUCCCACUCAGCCCUUCCCACCAUAUUAUAAUUAGGUACUGUGGUAUGCCAAUCAGCCCUCUUCACCACUUCCACCCCAUCCCGCCAGGAAACCCAGAAAUCCUCUAAGCAAAGUCAUGUAGCUUAUGUCCAGAUUACAGGUUCAACUUCCUCUCUCCAGAUACAAACUUGUCCAGCAGGUUCUUAGCAUAUUCCUCUUCAUGUAAAUGAAACAUUCCCACCCUAACAAAUUAUGUACAUUCACCCUGGAAAUCCCUACCUACUCCCUGAGAUCUACAUAACACUUGCUCACCCCUAAUAAAGUUGAGCUGUCUCACUGAAGUUGA